GUAGGGUGCAAGCGUUAAUCGGGAUUACUGGGCGUAAAGCGUGCGCAGGCGGUUUUGUAAGUCUGUCGUGAAAGCCCCGGGCUUAACCUGGGAAUUGCGAUGGAGACUGCAAGGCUUGAAUCUGGCAGAGGGGGGUAGAAUUCCACGUGUAGCAGUGAAAUGCGUAGAGAUGUGGAGGAACACCGAUGGCGAAGGCAGCCCCCUGGGUCAAGAUUGACGCUCAUGCACGAAAGCGUGGGGGAGCAAACAGGAUUAGAUACCCUGGUAGUCCACGCCCUAAACGAUGUCUACUAGUUGUCGGGUCUUAAUUGACUUGGUAACGCAGCUAACGCGUGAAGUAGGCCGCCUGGGGAUACGGUCGCAAGAUUA
RNAcentral lists this ribosomal RNA (369 nucleotides) under uncultured organism. RNAcentral's name for it is "partial 16S ribosomal RNA". It matches the Rfam family "Bacterial small subunit ribosomal RNA", at positions 527 to 896 of the family's 1533-position model. The record is from RNAcentral.